This 350-nucleotide ribosomal RNA is filed under the name uncultured bacterium. Its description in RNAcentral is "partial 16S ribosomal RNA". It matches the Rfam family "Bacterial small subunit ribosomal RNA", at positions 338 to 685 of the family's 1533-position model. The record is from RNAcentral.
CCUACGGGAGGCAGCAGUGAGGAAUAUUGGUCAAUGGCCGGAAGGCUGAACCAGCCAUGCCGCGUGAAGGUCAGUGCCCUAUGGGCGUUAAACUUCUUUUGUGCGGGAGCAAUAAUGGUCACGUGUGGCCAGACGAGAGUACCGUACGAAUAAGCAUCGGCUAACUCCGUGCCAGCAGCCGCGGUAAUACGGGGGAUGCAAGCGUUAUCCGGAUUUAUUGGGUUUAAAGGGUGCGUAGGCUGUGGGGUAAGUCAGCGGGGAAGUGCCCCCGCUCAACGGGGUGAAGUGCCAUUGAUACUGCCGUGCUGGAGUGCGGAUGCCGGGAGAGGAAUGUGUGGCGUAGCGGUGAA